This 468-nucleotide unclassified non-coding RNA is filed under the name Hevea brasiliensis (rubber tree). The record is from RNAcentral. Lineage: Eukaryota; Viridiplantae; Streptophyta; Magnoliopsida; Malpighiales; Euphorbiaceae.
AGGAUUCUGGGUAUGCAGUAUUGUUUUGGCUGGUUUGUGUGGUGAUGAUAGGGCUUACUUGAAGAUGAGAAGAGCUGUUGGGGCAUUAUCAAACCCUGCUUUGAUCAAUUUGGAUUCAAUUAUAUGUGGAGUUGUAAUGGAGAAAGGAUGUGUGCUGAAGGAGGUUAGAGAGUUGAAAGAUGCAGCUGAUUGCCUCGCAGCCGCCAUAGCCAGCAAAAACGGCAGUGAUGCCGCAGAGGAGAUGCAGAGAAAAUUGCAGGAGUUUGAGAAGUUGCUGGAUGGAAUAAGCAAGGAGGUGAAUUGUCUGUUCUCUGAGUUAUUGGCUGGAAGAAAAGAAUUGCUUAAUGGUAUUCGGAUUCAGAAACCAUAAAAACAAAUCAUAGAUUUCUAGUUUUGAUUUGUUUUUAAACUCUGUAUAUAGAUUGUAUACUUUUGCAUAGUUUUUUCAUUAAUGAGCUUCAAAUUGGU